AGGUAGGAGCUGAAGAAUCCGGGACGCCAGUUUCGGAGGAGGCAACGGUGGGAUACUACCCUUGUGACAUGACCACUCUAACCCGCACCCCUUACCGGGGUGGGAGACAGUGUCAGACGGGCAGUUUGACUGGGGCGGUCGCCUCCUAAAAUGUAACGGAGGCGCCCAAAGGUUCCCUCAGAAUGGUUGGAAAUCAUUCGAAGAGUGUAAAGGCAGAAGGGAGCUUGACUGCGAGACCUACAAGUCGAGCAGGGACGAAAGUCGGGCUUAGUGAUCCGGUGGUUCCGUAUGGAAGGGCCAU
Molecule: ribosomal RNA, 301 nt
Filed under: Mycobacterium tuberculosis
Lineage: Bacteria; Bacillati; Actinomycetota; Actinomycetes; Mycobacteriales; Mycobacteriaceae
Description: partial 23S ribosomal RNA
Rfam family: Bacterial large subunit ribosomal RNA
Source: RNAcentral